ACAAAGGAUGGAAAUUCUGGUGAGGACUUCAACAAGGAUUCCAUUGAGCGUGAUGAAAGACGGCUUACAGAAUUGGGUCGCAGGACAGUGGAAACAUUUGUCCUUGCUCAUAUUUUCAACCACAAAGUUGAAGUUGCUUACCAGGAAGCUGUUGCUUUGAAGAGGCAGGAAGAGCUAAUCCGUGAAGAAGAGGCAGCAUGGCUAGCUGAAAGUGAGCAGAAAUCUAAACGUGGAGGAACUGAGAAGGAAAAGAAAUCAAAGAAAAAACAGGCAAAACAAAAACGGAAUAAUCGUAAAGGGAAGGACAAAGGGAGGGAUGAAAAAUCCAGUGCAGCAGUAUUAGACAAGCAUCAAGAGGAAAAUCUAAGUAGUGAGAAAAAGGAUUCAAUUAUCGUAGUAGAGGUGCAGCCUGUGGUGGAAAAGCCUGAUAUUCUGGAAGAUGUGUCUGAUGUGUCUGACUCAGUGGAUGGUGUUGCUGAAGUGCUCCAGCCCGAUUCAGAAGACAGAGAUGCAAGUCCUGUUAAUUGGGAUACUGAUACUUCAGAAGUUCAUCCUUCUACAGAAGCCUGCAGCAGUGGAGUUAGUGGAUUAUCAUCUAUACCAAAUGGAACAGCUGAGAAAAGGAGCACAAAUGCAAUGGAUGACAGUUCAUCAACUUGCUCUACAGAUUCAGUCCCAUCAGUUGUUAAUAAUGGCUCUUAUAAGGGGAGCUCUUAUUCAAGCUACCAAUUUGUAAAAUCACCUAGCAGAGAGAAGCACCCUCGAGGUAAGGGGACAAGCGAUUUGAGUUGGACAACUGAGAUGGAUAAUCAGCUUUCUGUGCCUCCAGUAGAUGUUGGGGAUCUCAAUGAGGUUACUGGAAUUAGCAAAUCUGUUGAAUGCGAGCCCGAAGCUAUUGUUCAUGUCUCACAAGAUAGAAUAACAUGGACCGAGCAGCCUGUAGUUAAGAAGGUUGUGGAAGAAGUUUUACCGCAAAAGAAACUCGGCACUAAAGACUUGGUUGAUGUGGAAAGGUCCUCCAAAGAAACAGCAAUGACUAUCCCAUC
This 1046-nucleotide unclassified non-coding RNA is filed under the name Hevea brasiliensis (rubber tree). The record is from RNAcentral. Lineage: Eukaryota; Viridiplantae; Streptophyta; Magnoliopsida; Malpighiales; Euphorbiaceae.